GAGUAACGCACGUCCUUGCGGAAGUGACGGCAGUUCCGAGACCAGUGGGGGCGGUAGGAGCGAUGAGGGUCUGAGACGGUGGGAGCGGUUGUGUGAAGAUGGAGUUUCCCGGAGGAAAUGACAAUUACCUGACGAUCACAGGGCCUUCGCACCCCUUCCUGUCAGGGGCCGAGACAUUCCACACACCAAGCUUGGGUGAUGAGGAAUUUGAAAUCCCACCUAUCUCCUUGGAUUCUGAUCCCUCAUUGGCUGUCUCAGAUGUGGUUGGCCACUUUGAUGACCUGGCAGACCCUUCCUCUUCACAGGAUGGCAGUUUUUCAGCCCAGUAUGGGGUCCAGACAUUGGACAUGCCUGUGGGCAUGACCCAUGGCUUGAUGGAGCAGGGCGGGGGGCUCCUGAGUGGGGGCUUGACCAUGGUAAGGGGCAAGACAUUGUCAGGCUUUCCCCAGCUAAUGGGCAUGGCAUUAGGGGAGACAAAAGUUACUCUUUAUUCCCUACUACACUUGGGUAUUACUUGUUUCUCUUCUUGUGGCUAAAGGCUCACCAACAAAGACUUAAUUUCACCUGAAUAAAUGAAAUUUACCAUGUAGGUAGAUUUUUACUUGAAAAAUAAUUUAAAGUUGUACAAUGUCCGGUUUGAAAAUUAUUUAUUGUGGUUUUUGGGAAAAAGUGUUUUCUGCUUUUAUUAUGGCCUUCACAUUCUAGGAUUCAAAUUUGAAUGUGAUAGCUGGCACAUGGAGGGAUUUAUUCAAAAAUGGCCUGAAUCAUGUUGAGAAGCCAGCAGGACAGAGCUUAAAAAAAAAAAAAGGUCUGAGCCAAAUAUAGUAUUGUGGAUUAAUUAGUAUGUAAUAUAAAUCAGUAUAUUGGGCUUCCAGCACAUCGAACCAGUAGCAUAUCUUCAUACUCUAUAUUUGAUGCCAAACUUUAAUAUUGGCCUUAUUUAUGCUGAUUGCCUGUGUAUUACAAUUUUAAAAGCUAUUAUUUUGGGAUGGUACAGAUAGGAAGUUUUUCUUUACUCAAUGUGUUCUCACUACCUAUAUAUUACUGAAUAAGUUGAUAGCUCUUUGACUUGUCCAACAGUACGACUUCUCUGAUUAUUUUUAGUUCUUUUGAGUGCAAAGAAGUAAAUUCAUUAAUUUCUGUACUUUCUUAAAAAGCUUAUUUUUUUAUUUUCAUUUUUGAAGACAAUUUAUUUUAUGUUUUGUAUUUUAAAUGAUACAGUUUGGGUAGGCAGGGAAUUUAUAAGCUGUCUUAAAUUUAGGGGGGAAAAGUGGUGUUUUUUUAUAUUUAGUGUUUAAUUAGUCCUUCUGCUUCUCUCAGGACUUGGACCACUCUAUAGGAACUCAGUAUAGUGCCAACCCACCUGUUACAAUUGAUGUACCAAUGACAGACAUGACAUCUGGCUUGAUGGGGCAUAGCCAGUUGACCACCAUUGAUCAGUCAGAACUGAGUUCCCAACUGGGUUUGAGCCUAGGGGGUGGCACCAUCCUGCCACCUGCCCAGUCACCUGAAGAUCGUCUUUCAACCACCCCUUCACCUACUAGUUCACUUCACGAGGAUGGUGUUGAGGAUUUCCGGAGGCAACUUCCCAGCCAGAAGACAGUCGUGGUGGAAGCAGGGAAAAAGCAGAAGGCCCCAAAGAAGAGAAAAAAGAAAGAUCCUAAUGAACCUCAGAAACCAGUUUCAGCAUAUGCUUUAUUCUUUCGUGAUACACAGGCUGCCAUCAAGGGACAGAAUCCUAAUGCCACUUUUGGUGAGGUUUCAAAAAUUGUGGCCUCCAUGUGGGAUAGUCUUGGAGAGGAGCAAAAACAGGUAUAUAAGAGGAAAACUGAGGCUGCCAAGAAAGAGUAUCUGAAGGCACUGGCUGCUUACAAAGACAACCAGGAGUGUCAGGCCACUGUGGAAACAGUGGAAUUGGAUCCAGCACCACCAUCACAAACUCCUUCUCCACCUCCUAUGGCUACUGUUGACCCAGCAUCUCCAGCACCAGCUUCAAUAGAGCCCCCUGCCCUGUCCCCAUCCAUUGUUGUUAACUCCACCCUUUCAUCCUAUGUGGCAAACCAGGCAUCUUCUGGAGCUGGGGGUCAGCCCAAUAUCACCAAGUUGAUUAUUACCAAACAAAUGUUGCCGUCUUCCAUUACUAUGUCUCAAGGAGGGAUGGUUACUGUUAUCCCAGCCACAGUGGUGACCUCCCGGGGGCUCCAACUAGGCCAAACCAGUACAGCUACUAUCCAGCCCAGUCAGCAAGCCCAGAUUGUCACUCGGUCAGUGUUGCAGGCAGCAGCUGCUGCUGCUGCUGCUGCUUCUAUGCAACUGCCUCCACCCCGACUACAGCCCCCUCCAUUACAACAGAUGCCACAGCCCCCAACUCAGCAGCAAGUUACCAUUCUGCAGCAGCCUCCUCCACUCCAGGCCAUGCAACAGCCUCCACCUCAGAAAGUUCGAAUCAAUUUACAGCAACAGCCUCCUCCUCUGCAGAUCAAGAGUGUGCCUCUACCCACUUUGAAAAUGCAGACUACCUUAGUUCCACCAACUGUGGAAAGUAGUCCUGAGCGGCCUAUGAACAACAGCCCUGAGGCCCAUACAGUAGAGGCAACUUCUCCUGAGACUAUCUGUGAGAUGAUCACAGAUGUAGUUCCUGAGGUUGAGUCUCCUUCUCAGAUGGAUGUUGAAUUGGUGAGUGGGUCUCCUGUGGCACUCUCACCCCAGCCUCGAUGUGUGAGGUCUGGUUGUGAGAACCCUCCCAUUGUGAGUAAGGACUGGGACAACGAAUACUGCAGCAAUGAGUGUGUGGUGAAGCACUGCAGGUGAGCUUACAGUUAGUUCCCUCUUUUGUAAUUCAGAUACUGGUCAAUUCUAUUGGGAAACAUGGUAAUCUUGAGCAUAAAAUCAGCAUCUCAGUGUCACCUUACCUUAGGUAGAGUAGGUUGCUGUAUAUCUAUCUGGUCUACUAGAAAAGCUCCCCUGCUUAAGAGCUUACAUUUGCCACAUAAGCCAAAGAUGACGUAAUCAGCAGUUCACAUUUUUCAGUUACCACAUACCUCUCUUAUGUAUGCUCUUUAAAAAUAUAAUACAUUAAGCUGUUAGUGUUUGCAAAUAUUAGCUUUUCAAUUCUUAGUGCAAAUCAGACUACUUAGGGAACUAGAAUUUGGGGAGAAAUGGUAAGUGGAAAGUAGCACAUAAUAAUUUGCAAUUUGUGAGGGAAAUGGGGAGAAGGUUGGAAUAUUUUACCCCUUCCCCAAAUUUUCCUGGGAAUUUCCUAUAGCUGUAGGACAAGGCAUUUCUAUUUCCUAUUUCAAAAACUCUACAGUAAAUUAGCAUUGCCUCUACUUCUGAUUUUUAAGCCCACUGUUAUAUUUCUAAGGUGAUACUAUCUCACCAUAAUGCUGUAGGAAAUUAUCUGGGAACCUAUUUGUUUAAAACAGAUAAAAAAUCCAGCUGGGCCAAUAUGGUGAAACUCCAUCUCUACUAAAAAUACAAAAACUAGCCGGGCAUGGUGGCGGGCACCUGUAGUCCUGGUUACUCAGGAGGCUGAGGCAGGAGAAUCUCUUGAACCUGGGAGAUGGAGGUUGCAGUGAGCCAAGAAGAUCACGCCACUGCACUCCAGCCUGGGCAACAGUGAGACUCCAUCUCAAAAAAAAAAAAGAC
Molecule: small RNA, 3648 nt
Filed under: Pongo abelii (Sumatran orangutan)
Lineage: Eukaryota; Metazoa; Chordata; Mammalia; Primates; Hominidae
Description: retained intron
Source: RNAcentral